CCAAGAAAUUGUUUGCUUUCCCUAACAUUUAAACCCAGACGAACUUCUAAACUCCAUCCCACACACUUUCCCUUUCCUCUCGAUGAAACCUCUCAGCUGCAGGCUCUUCCCCUGAGUCUCCCCUCUUGUUCUUCAACUGCCAUGCAACCCGUCUCCCUCCGAGCACCCGCUCUUCUUCAAGCCCUGACCUGCGGAAAGAAGGUGGUCAUUUACGUCCCUGACCUGCGGAAAGAAGGUGGUCCAGCCCUAAUCGCUGGUGGGUGUUCUCAUAUGAGGGUGAGCACGGCCCAGACAGCCAGGUUGUCCUUGUUGUUGUUGGUGAUGUUGAUAUGGAUGCUAUUGACAUGGUAAUACUUCGUGGGGAGUUUGCUUCAAAAGCAUUAAGCCACAGUUUUACUGUGCACACCCAAGACAUGGAGGAGGUCAUCUCUACACAUUGCUAGAAUUGGGGGAGAUGAUUGGGGCCACAAAGAUUAUAUUCAUGGAUGAGAUAUCAUCUGGAUUGGAUAGCUCACCUAUAUAUCAGAUAGUCACAUGUCUUCUGUGUACAAAUUCCCCGGUGUUGAUAUCUCUUCUCCAACCAGCACCAGAAACGUUUGACCUCUUUGAUGAGAUGGCGGAGGGCAAGAUUGUUUAUCACGGUCCUCAUGUCCAUGCUCUUCAGUUCUGUGAGGAGUUCUGUGAGGAUUGUGGUCUCAAGUGCCCAAAAAGGAAAGGUGCUGCUGAUUUCCUUCAAGAGGAAAUGCAAGCUGAAACUUCAGGAAAAGCAGCUGAAAAUUGCAGAAUUACGCCAAACCACUGGAUUGAAUCCUUUGUAGAUGCAAGAAGAGAAGAAGAGGAGGUGACUGCAUGUGCAAUAGAGAGAGAGAAGAAAAGAGGGCAGCAACCGUGGCCCUUCCUCCUUGUCAUUAAUAUAACCUAAUCUAUGCUACAAGUAAAUACAGAAAACAACAAGUAUUUACAAGUAUGCCACUGCCCAUUAUGUUUAGGUAUAUGGGCAAGAUGGAUCAGGGCUGUAGACAUAGAUGUGCAUCUUUUUGAAAGCACUCCUCAAAACCUGCAGCAAAAGAAAUGCAGACAUAAAACCGAUAGCUUAUUUUAUGAGGCACAAUUGGCUUAUAUGGCCUACA
Molecule: long non-coding RNA, 1130 nt
Organism: Nymphaea colorata (pocket water lily)
Lineage: Eukaryota; Viridiplantae; Streptophyta; Magnoliopsida; Nymphaeales; Nymphaeaceae
Exons: 5
Source: RefSeq, a predicted model, not a curated record